UAUAUCAUAAUUACCUAAAGUUGUAUGAUAUUUCAGAAUAAGCAAUUUUUUUUUUCUUGUGGACCGAUAGAAGGAAAUUUACAUCUUCUAGAAAAUACAUGUAUUUCUGUAACGUCCAUUGGUUCCGGAAGAUUUCUUAAGUACCAUAAAAGUUUGCUCAUUUCUUCUCAAAUUUCUAAAAUUUAAUUAUUUCUCUAAA
Molecule: long non-coding RNA, 199 nt
Filed under: Capsella rubella
Lineage: Eukaryota; Viridiplantae; Streptophyta; Magnoliopsida; Brassicales; Brassicaceae
Description: long non-coding RNA (CRUB_LNC004663)
Source: RNAcentral